This is a long non-coding RNA of Bos taurus (domestic cattle), 864 nucleotides long. Lineage: Eukaryota; Metazoa; Chordata; Mammalia; Artiodactyla; Bovidae. The record is from Ensembl.
CUCCUCCUAAUUCUUCCCCGCGCGCCCGGCGGGGCCGGAGAGACCGAGAGGUGGCUGCGGGGAGGCGUAACGGGGAGCCGCGGCUCGGAGCCGAGGACGCCGAGCCGGGACCGGGGAACCUGGGAAGCACACUUGAGUCACAGCUGGCCUGUGGUUUUUACAUCUCAUCAGGGACCACUCUCUUCACAGCCUUAUCUUCGCUCCUCCCCAUACAGGUGGCAGUUUUCUGAAGUUGCUCAUUGAGACUUCUCAGCAUUCCUACAGAUAUAAUAGGUGAGCAGUGGCUAGCAUUGUCCUGAAGAAGUGAAGUGAAGUGAAGUCACUCAGUCAUGUCCGACUCUUUGCGACCCCAUGGACUGUAGCCUACCAGGCUCCUCUGUCCAUGGGAUUUUCCAGGCAAGAGUACUGGAGUGGAUUGCCAUUUCCUUCUCCAGGGCAUCUUCCCAACCCAGGGAUUGAACUCGGGUCUCCUGCGUUGCAGGCAGACGCUUUACCGUCUGAGCCACCAGGGAAGCCCAGGCAUUGUCCUAGUCCCUGGGUAAAUCACAAAUUAGAUCUUGGUUUUUACGGAUACAGGUUAUUUUACAUCAUUGGGCCCAGUUCACUGAUAAUAUCCCUCAGUGGGUAAUUAGAAACGUGUCAUUCUGCUGAGAGCUUUGCCAGUAAACCCAAUGACAGCGGCAAGGUUUGCAGUGUUUGCUUUGAUGGGCUUCUGGGUGAAGGUCGCUGCCGUCGCAAGCUGCUCCUGCCCUGUGCCCCUGAGAAGUUCUGGGCUGUUGGGCUUUGGGCUGGCAGCCCUGUCAGUGCAUCAUGCAGCGGGCCGGUCCCCUGGGCCACCCCGGGACGAGGUUUCCGCUGCACUUG